Molecule: RNase P RNA, 404 nt
Filed under: Elusimicrobiota bacterium
Lineage: Bacteria; Pseudomonadati; Elusimicrobiota
Description: Elusimicrobia bacterium (groundwater metagenome) RNase P RNA component class A
Rfam family: Bacterial RNase P class A
About the family: Ribonuclease P (RNase P) is a ubiquitous endoribonuclease, found in archaea, bacteria and eukarya as well as chloroplasts and mitochondria. Its best characterised activity is the generation of mature 5'-ends of tRNAs by cleaving the 5'-leader elements of precursor-tRNAs.
Source: RNAcentral
CGGAGAGGCUGAGGGGUCGCUCCGGCUGCAAGACCGGCAAUGGCCGGAACACCGCACGCCGGGGAGGAACCUCCGGACUCCACAGAGCGCGGUGCCCGCCGAAAGGCGGGGGAUCGGAGGCCCAAGCCUCCGGUAACGGAAAGUGCCACAGAGAACAUACCGCACGCGGGUCUUCGGACUUUCGUGCAAGGGUGAAAAGGCGAGGUAAGAGCUCACCGCUCCCGCCGUGAGGCGGGGGGCUAGGCAAACCCCACCGGGAGCAAGGCAGUUGGGCGGUCGCACGGCUCGUGCAGGUCCCGAAUCACGUGAUCGGGGCCGAUCGCCCGGUAGCCGCCAAGAGAAAUGAUCCCUGCCUUCGGCGAAAGCCGGAGGGACAGAAUCCGGGGUAUAGGCCGAUCCGCAAC